AUGAGCAGGCAGAUUACACAAGUUUAUGACUUCUAUGAUGAGUGUCUUCAUGAAUACGGCUCGGUGAAUGUCUGGAGAUGUUGCACAGAAAUAUUCGACUAUUUAAGUUUGUCUGCACUUACUGAGAACAAAAUCUUCAAUGUCCACGGAGGCCUUUCCCCUGCUAUUACGGCAGUGAAUCAGGCUUUAUUUCACUUGGAGAAAAGUAAUCAGGAGCUCAAGGGUGACCUCAAGUACAUGUACGUCUACACUGCAAUGUAA
Molecule: ribosomal RNA, 261 nt
Filed under: Triticum aestivum (bread wheat)
Lineage: Eukaryota; Viridiplantae; Streptophyta; Magnoliopsida; Poales; Poaceae
Description: partial small subunit ribosomal RNA
Source: RNAcentral